CCUACGGGGAGCAGCAGUCGAGAAUCAUUCACAAUGGGGGAAACCCUGAUGGUGCGACGCCGCGUGGGGGAAUGAAGGUCUUCGGAUUGUAAACCCCUGUCAUGUGGGAGCAAAUUAAAAAGAUAGUACCACAAGAGGAAGAGACGGCUAACUCUGUGCCAGCAGCCGCGGUAAUACAGAGGUCUCAAGCGUUGUUCGGAAUCACUGGUCGUAACGCGUGCAUAGGCUGUUUCGUAAGUCGUGUGUGAAAGGCGCGGGCUCAACCCGCGGACGGCACAUGAUACUGCGAGACUAGAGUAAUGGAGGGGGAACCGGAAUUCUCGGUGUAGCAGGGAAAUGCGUAGAUAUCGAGAGGAACACUCGUGGCGAAGGCGGGUUCCUGGACAUUAACUGACGCUGAGGCACGAAGGCCAGGGGAGCGAAAGGGAUUAGAUACCCGGGUAGUC
Molecule: ribosomal RNA, 446 nt
Filed under: uncultured bacterium
Lineage: Bacteria
Description: partial 16S ribosomal RNA
Rfam family: Bacterial small subunit ribosomal RNA
Source: RNAcentral